GAAGACUUGCAAAUAAAUCGGUUAUCGAUAGGUUAGUAAAGCCAACAAUUAGACCAAGAGCUGUAACCAGUACAAUGGCUGUGACACCCUGAAUAAAUCUCAUCAAUAGCUGGAAGUUCGUUGAUUUUUUAGGACUGAAGGUGAAGAUCUUGAAUAUCAAAACAAUCCCAACGAGCACCACCCACGAGAAACCAUAUAACGCAAGUGAUGUGUCCUUUCCUGUGAGAUGGAGCUUGUACACAAUUCCAAAUUGAAAUAGGAAGAACCUCACAGUCAAGAUUGUCUCCAAUAUUCGACCCCGGAAUGUUUGAAUAUGUGCCUGUUCCUCAUCCCACCAUGAUUCCA
RNAcentral lists this unclassified non-coding RNA (345 nucleotides) under Hevea brasiliensis (rubber tree). The record is from RNAcentral. Lineage: Eukaryota; Viridiplantae; Streptophyta; Magnoliopsida; Malpighiales; Euphorbiaceae.